ACAUGUGUUAAGGACUAUGUGCCAGGUACUUUGUUAUGUGCUUUACAAAAAAAAUAUCUCAUGCAAAUAAUGCUCCGAAAAACUCUGUGAGGUUGUGAGGUAGGUAUUAUCAUUAUCUCUGUUUUACAGGGAAGAAGAAGGGAAGAAGCAUUUUUAUAGAGCCUACUUUGUGCCAGGCACUGUGCUAAGUGCUUUAGAAAUAUUACUUCUUUUAUUCCUUAUACAACCCAAGAAAGUAAAUGCAUUUAUUAUCCUCAUUUUACAGUUGAGACAACUGAGGGAAGAAAUUAUUAAGUGAGUUGCCCAGCUAGUCAUACAGGUAAAAGUCAAUGUAUGAACAUGGAUUUGAACUUGGAUCAUCCAGACUGCAGGCCUAGAACUCUAUCCUCUGCAUCACCCAGUUUCACAUAUCUAGUGAAGUAAACUAUUUAAAGCUGCUCUUUUGAGGGGUUAAAAAGAACUGAAAAAUAGUUGCUCAAAAAUUGGUUAAUUGAAAAGCAAGUUGCAGUUCAUGACUUAUAUUGAUUCUCCCUCUUUUUUGUGCAGAAUGGGAGCAGCCAGGAUUGUGGAAUGUUGCAUUUGAUAAUACACUGCCCUACUGAUUUGAUGAGAAAACUGAGGGAAACAGGAUUAAAUGACUUGUCCAUAUUUGAACUCCUAAAGAGGAGUCUUCCCAGCUCCAAGACCAGCCCUCUAUCAGCUAUGCCACUUAGCUUUGCCAAAAGCUUGAAAAGUAGACUGGUGUUAGAUUGUAUAAGGUCAUGAAUGUCAGGCAGAGGAACUUAAACUUUAUUCAAGGGACAAUGGGGAGCUAUUAAAGAUUUCUAAAGAGAUGAGCAAUGUGAGAUGUAUAUAAGAAAGCUUAUUCUAAUAGCAAUAUGAAGGACAAGUUGGAAGGAGGAAAACAUGGUAUUAUCAACAUCAACAAAAAAGGAUAUUCUGAUUCUUCAGAUUGUUGCCAAUGAGAGUUUGUGAUAGUAUGGUAAUGGGUACUAGAGCAAUCUUACUCAGUCUAAGAAGCCAGAAAGAAACAAUGGAUAGAAGUUACAAAGAGGGAAAUGUAGGUCUGAAAUAACAAAACCCUAACAAUUUAAUCUAUGAAAAGGUUAGACUAGGCUGUCCUGGGAAGUAGUGAGUUCCCUUUAAGAUCAGUACAAUUUAGCAACUAACUAGGUGAUCUUGGGGAAGUAAUUUAACCUCUGUUACUCUCAGUUUCCCCAUCUGUAAGAUGAGGAAAUUAAUAUCUGUGCUAUCCAUUUCCAAUGGUUAUUGUGAGAACCAGCUAUGAUAAUUUAUGUGAAAUGCUUUGUUACCUACAGUAUUAUAUCAAUGUAAACUAUGAUCAUUAUUAUUUCCUAAACUCUACAUUAAUACAAAGAGGCAUGAAUUCAUGAA
Molecule: non-coding RNA, 1395 nt
Organism: Monodelphis domestica (gray short-tailed opossum)
Lineage: Eukaryota; Metazoa; Chordata; Mammalia; Didelphimorphia; Didelphidae
Source: RefSeq, a predicted model, not a curated record